UGGGGAAUUGUUCACAAUGGGCGCAAGCCUGAUGACGCAACGCCGCGUGGGGGACGAAGGUCUUCGGAUUGUAAAGCUCUUUUGGCGGGGACGAUAAUGACGGUACCCGCAGAAUAAGCCCCGGCUAACUUCGUGCCAGCAGCCGCGGUAAUACGAAGGGGGCUAGCGUUGUUCGGAAUUACUGGGCGUAAAGCGCACGUAGGCGGACUGAUAAGUCAGGGGUGAAAUCCCGGGGCUCAACCUCGGAACUGCCUUUGAUACUGUUAGUCUCGAGUCCGGAAGAGGUGAGUGGAAUUCCUAGUGUAGAGGUGAAAUUCGUAGAUAUUAGGAAGAACACCAGUGGCGAAGGCGGCUCACUGGUCCGGUACUGACGCUGAGGUGCGAAAGCGUGGGGAGCAAACAGGAUUAGAUACCCCAGUAGUCCCUGAGCGGGCUGGCAAGGCGCAU
Molecule: ribosomal RNA, 447 nt
Filed under: uncultured bacterium
Lineage: Bacteria
Description: bacterial SSU rRNA
Rfam family: Bacterial small subunit ribosomal RNA
Source: RNAcentral